Molecule: ribosomal RNA, 1164 nt
Filed under: uncultured Neisseriaceae bacterium
Lineage: Bacteria; Pseudomonadati; Pseudomonadota; Betaproteobacteria; Neisseriales; Neisseriaceae
Description: bacterial SSU rRNA
Rfam family: Bacterial small subunit ribosomal RNA
Source: RNAcentral
ACGGGAGGCAUUUUUGGGGAAUUUUGGACAAUGGGGGGAACCCUGAUCCAGCCAUGCCGCGUGUCUGAAGAAGGCCUUCGGGUUGUAGAGGACUUUUGUUAGGGAAGAAAAGCUGGGUGUUAAUACCAUCUAGUGCUGACGGUACCUAAAGAAUAAGCACCGGCUAACUACGUGCCAGCAGCCGCGGUAAUACGUAGGGUGCGAGCGUUAAUCGGAAUUACUGGGCGUAAAGCGAGCGCAGACGGUUAAAUAAGUCAGAUGUGAAAUCCCCGAGCUCAACUUGGGACGUGCAUUUGAAACUGUGUAACUAGAGUGUGUCAGAGGGAGGUAGAAUUCCACGUGUAGCAGUGAAAUGCGUAGAGAUGUGGAGGAAUACCGAUGGCGAAGGCAGCCUCCUGGGAUAACACUGACGUUCAUGCUCGAAAGCGUGGGUAGCAAACAGGAUUAGAUACCCUGGUAGUCCACGCCCUAAACGAUGACAAUUAGCUGUUGGGGUACUAGAUGCCUUAGUAGCGAAGCUAACGCGUGAAAUUGUCCGCCUGGGGAGUACGGUCGCAAGGUUAAAACUCAAAGGAAUUGACGGGGACCCGCACAAGCGGUGGAUGAUGUGGACUAAUUCGAUGCAACGCGAAGAACCUUACCUGGUCUUGACAUGUACGGAAUCUCUUAGAGAUAGGAGAGUGCCUUCGGGAACCGUAACACAGGUGCUGCAUGGCUGUCGUCAGCUCGUGUCGUGAGAUGUUGGGUUAAGUCCCGCAACGAGCGCAACCCUUGUCAUUAGUUGCCAUCAUUAAGUUGGGCACUCUAAUGAGACUGCCGGUGACAAACCGGAGGAAGGUGGGGAUGACGUCAAGUCCUCAUGGCCCUUAUGACCAGGGCUUCACACGUCAUACAAUGGUCGGUACAGAGGGUAGCGAAGCCGCGAGGUGAAGCCAAUCUCAGAAAGCCGAUCGUAGUCCGGAUUGCACUCUGCAACUCGAGUGCAUGAAGUCGGAAUCGCUAGUAAUCGCAGGUCAGCAUACUGCGGUGAAUACGUUCCCGGGUCUUGUACAUACCGCCCGUCACACCAUGGGAGUGGGGGAUACCAGAAUUGGGUAGACUAACCGCAAGGAGGUCGCUUAACACGGUAUGCUUCAUGACUGGGGUGAAGUCGUAACAAGGUAA